RNAcentral lists this long non-coding RNA (2509 nucleotides) under Gossypium barbadense (sea-island cotton). Its description in RNAcentral is "long non-coding RNA (GBAR_LNC008914)". Lineage: Eukaryota; Viridiplantae; Streptophyta; Magnoliopsida; Malvales; Malvaceae. The record is from RNAcentral.
CUCUUUGUCUUUCCUGCACCUUCUGCAUACAACAACCAAUUCAUUUCUUCCCAACAAUAAAAGUAACAUAUAAUGACAUUCAAGGCAUAAUCCAAGUUUUGUUAUGCAAUAUUCUAAUAAUAGCUGAGAAAUGCAAAUAUAUUCACUUAAGUACAGGCAAUUCAUUAAGUUUAGAGCUUGAGAUAUAACUCUUUUUAAGAAUCAUCACAUAUAUACUUAGGCUUGAGUAACUACAAUUAUGUCCAGAAGCAUCAUUAUGAUCAUUUACAAUUUACUUAUUCAUGAAGUCAGUCCACAAGAAGUCCAUGAUUGAAAACUUCUUAUUAUAUACUUUUUACAAAAGCAAUUCAUCCAACUGUUUUGUCCAUUGACCUCGUCAUGUGUGUGUUACAGUCACAUGAUGUCCUUAAUUCUUUUGAAUUAGAUCCGUUUGCUCAAUGCAAUCCUAUUUUAUCUCAUUAUCACCAUUGUGUCUUUUUAAUGAUUAAUAUGACCACUGUCAACUAAUUACUAUGAUAAAUUACUCACUUGAGAAUAAACAACUUGUGGUGACAUUCCAUAUUUAUCAAUCCACACAAUGCCAAUGAGAGGAUAUCGUUACUCUUUAAUCGAGCUAUGAAUUCUAUUGUUGCUAGUAAAGUCAUGAUAUACACAAGUCAUAUACCCAACAUAUUGACUAUUGGAUUGAUCAUCUUUAGAGCAUAAGCCUCCACUUAUAUCAAAGCACAUGACUUAAAUACGCAUGAUCAGUGAAUAACUUAGGAUUUAGGUAAGUCACACCAUGAACGUCACCAGUGAAUCAAUUCACAAAUAGAUUCAGAAUUAAUUCAACUUGGGUCCUGUCCACAAUAUCUUUUAAGUUAAAUACAAUAAAUUUAUACAUCUAUAUAUAAAUUUUAGUUUAUAUUAUUAAUAAUUAAAAGCAUAUAAAUUAGUUUAUAAUUAUAAUCAAUAUUAUCAUUGUAAACUCUAAAAUAUAUAAACAUUUUCAACACUCUCUAACAUAUAAUUUAUGCAAAUUUCGAGUACAUAAAUAACACUUUAUGUAUUUUUAUUAUUAAUUUAUAAUAUUUUGUAAUUUAUUUGGAAAUGUGUUAAUUUAGUUAAAUUUAUACUAAAUACAUAAUUUUUUUUGAGGGAAUAAAUCAGCUGAGGGAAAUACAACAGAAUUUUGGUUGUUUUAAAGUUCAGACAGGUACAACUUGAAGCAUUUUGAUCCAACAUUAUUAGGCUUUAAAGUUACCUUAAAAGUAGAUAGAGGCCCAGAGUUGUCCAGAAGGAAGCCCAGAACUGUCUACCAGGAAGUCCAACUGUCCUUGAAGACCACUUCUCUACUAAUCAGGGACGAUGACAACCACUACAAAAAAUAGCAGUCCACAACCGGCAAUACAUCCUCCAUCACUCAAAGGUCGACCAUUCUAGUUCCAAAAAUAGUAAAUUCAAACUUCACUCUCCCUUAAUCAAGGACGACAAGCUUUCCCCUUAAUUUAAGCCUCAACCGCCAACAAUAUUGCUAAAAAUAGCAGUCCAACACCACGCCUUCUCCACCACUUAAGGGACGACAACCACCCUUGCUAAAAAUAGCUAUGUCGCCACCCAUUUCUCCACACAUCAAGGGACGGUUCAACUAUGAAGGAAAUUAAGGAAUUCCCUUGCUAAAAAUAGCAAGGGACGUUGGAGGCCUAUGAGCAUAAAUAGGGCAUCAAAGAGAGGAAAAGGAUAUAUUAGAUUUCAGAGAAAAAAAAUCUAAAAGUGUCAUCCUUUGUUUUCCUUACGGCUUGCUAAGAGUUUUCACGCCAAAAAAUAGGGCAAAACUCUUGCCGAGGGUGAGACUAAGAAGCAUAAACUUGAGAUCAUUAAGGUGAAAUUGACAUGGAGAAGAGGAGGAGAGCCACCAUGAGAAGUCGCAAGAAGCAAUCGCAGAUAACCUCAUGCAUUUCAACUAUUUUCUUUUUUUAUUGUGCAGUGGCCAUGGAUAAUCCUCCUCUGCUUUUCUUCUUCCCUUUCUAUUUAUUGUUAAUUGUUGCUACCUGUGUUGACAAACAUGUUUGCAUCUCAUCUUUAUGUUUUUCAAUUUAAUAAUCAUGGCUUAAUUUUGUUUAGUUAAAAUGGAUAUGAAUCUUUGAUUUGAGUUGAUUGAUUUUUAUAUUAUGAAUGUUUGUGCAAAUGAUUGUUUCAUUAAUUUAGGUUUAAUUAUUGUUAGUACUUAUGAGUGUAAAAUCAAUAUUUGUAGGUUCAUGAAUUAGCUAUUUUAUCUGAAAAAGAGGUAAUAGGUAAUAGACAAAAGAUUUAGAUGGUGAAUAUCAUGUUGAUGUCAAAAGAUGAUUGUUGUAUGCAUGAAUUGUAUAAAAUGCCCGAAAAUGUGAUCUCAAGGUUAGUUUGACAUAGACAUAUGUAAGAUAACUAAGAAAUAUAAUAAAAUUUCUAAAAAAGCCUAUGCCUUAAGAAGAAAUAAGUUUAAUGAAUUUUAUAUUGCCAUGAAACAUUCUUAAUAUAUUUCCUAAUAAGC